CCUCGGGGGGCAGCAGUGGGGAAUAUUGGACAAUGGGCGAAAGCCUGAUCCAGCCAUGCCGCGUGUGUGAAGAAGGCCUUCGGGUUGUAAAGCACUUUCAGUGGGGAAGAAAGCCUUGGGGCUAAUACCCUCGAGGAAGGACAUCACCCACAGAAGAAGCACCGGCUAACUCCGUGCCAGCAGCCGCGGUAAUACGGAGGGUGCGAGCGUUAAUCGGAAUUACUGGGCGUAAAGCGCGCGUAGGCGGUCUGAUAAGCCGGGUGUGAAAGCCCCGGGCUCAACCUGGGAACGGCAUCCGGAACUGUCAGGCUAGAGUGCAGGAGAGGAAGGUAGAAUUCUCGGUGUAGCGGUGAAAUGCGUAGAGAUCGGGAGGAAUACCAGUGGCGAAGGCGGCCUUCUGGACUGACACUGACGCUGAGGUGCGAAAGCGUGGGUAGCAAACAGGAUUAGAUACCCCAGUAGUC
This 464-nucleotide ribosomal RNA is filed under the name Vreelandella stevensii. RNAcentral describes it as "partial 16S ribosomal RNA". It matches the Rfam family "Bacterial small subunit ribosomal RNA", at positions 339 to 795 of the family's 1533-position model. The record is from RNAcentral. Lineage: Bacteria; Pseudomonadati; Pseudomonadota; Gammaproteobacteria; Oceanospirillales; Halomonadaceae.